This 239-nucleotide long non-coding RNA is filed under the name Elaeis guineensis (African oil palm). RNAcentral describes it as "long non-coding RNA (EGUI_LNC016360)". Lineage: Eukaryota; Viridiplantae; Streptophyta; Magnoliopsida; Arecales; Arecaceae. The record is from RNAcentral.
GCGCCAAGAAAUUAACUCCCAGUAGACAACGUUCAAGAAGAUAAGAAAACAAAGAGACAAAAAAAAAAAAAAUGAAAAUCAGAAGAAGAAUAAGAGAGCAAAAAGAAUGGCAUAAAAGACAGUUCCUAUAACAGAUAAAAAUGAUUGACUCUCUUUCAUCACCAACCCAUUCCAAGAACGCAAAGGGAAGGCUGUCUUUCCUCCAAGAUAUUCUCUUUCUCCAUCCACCACUGCCCAAG